AGGACAUUGAAGAAAUCGUUUUUGCCAAACCUGUUAUAAAGAAACUGAUACAUUUCCUCGCCUCAUUCAAAAUCUAAAAACGCAAACAUCAUAGUAAAAUCAAUAAAUUCUUUUCCACGCUCACAAUCUAAAAUAUAUGGUAUACAAUUUAUUAAUCAUCCCUACUCCUCUGGUUUAAGUUUUAAACUGUUUAAACUUAUAAUCAGUGUAUUGAAUAUUAGCUAGUAAAUUGCGUACCUAAAUAUUAGAAAACUAUUUUAUCAAAUCUGUGUUUUAAAUAAAGAGAGGUGAAGAAUAUUGCCUUUCUAAUAUCAAAAGUAACUAUUCAUAUUUAAGAUAUAAAAAUACAGGGGUGA
Cinara cedri is the source of this 356-nucleotide non-coding RNA. NCBI's taxonomy places the organism in Eukaryota, Metazoa, Arthropoda, Insecta, Hemiptera, Aphididae. The record is from the annotation of a GenBank genome assembly.